This 8143-nucleotide long non-coding RNA is filed under the name Setaria viridis. RNAcentral describes it as "long non-coding RNA (SVIR_LNC003166)". Lineage: Eukaryota; Viridiplantae; Streptophyta; Magnoliopsida; Poales; Poaceae. The record is from RNAcentral.
UGGACUUGGAGUCGAGGGAGAAGUGGUUGCGCGUGAAGCGAGAGAGGAUGUUGGACUUGCCGACGCCGCUGUCCCCGAUGAGCACCAUCUUGAAAAGGUACGAGUACUCGUGAUCCACUCGCCCGCCCAUCUCUCUCCCCUGCCCUCCUGCUCGUCCGGAGAUGAGAUCCCUUCUCGGUGGUGAGGAGGUCCUGAGGGAGGAGGCGCCCAAGAAAGGAAGGGGGAUUCGUCUAGGAAGAAGAAGAGGGGAAAGUAGGGGAGUGGUGGCCUGGCCUUGCGCUGGUGGGUGGUGGUGGGAGAGCACUCGCCCAGCUAACAAACCCCUCCAAAGGGAAUUGCGAGCCCAGCCUCCCUUCGAUUGCUCCCAUUUCAGUCCUGGCCCCUGGGCCCGUAUAAGUUUAGGUUAGAAAAAAAAAUGUCGGGCUCUCUCUGUUUCUACAGCAGAUCAGUAUUCCAAAUAUUAGAGGUGGAAAACUUAAUCUUAUUUAUUGAAAAUAAUAUAAUUUCUUCCUUUUUACAACAAUAAACCAUGUGGCAUAAAAAAAAUAUACACCAAGAAAACAAGAGACUUGUACAAGUAUAGCAGUAAUAACAACAAAAGGAACAAUUAAAAAACCAAACAAUAGUUUGGAUGCUUAGCCCACGUGACCUAUCAGUGAUCAAAACAUGUGGUUUGGUAUCUAUGUAUCCUAUUAAUGUGGUUAUUUUAAUUUUCAGUCCGUACAUUCAUGGUGUUAUAAAUCGUUGUCGCUACGGAUCUCCAAUCCGCUGUCCCAAAUCCCAUCUAAGAACAUGAUGGGAAGAAGUUAUAGAUAGAUCUCGUUUCCCUCACACAAAUACACUAGAACAUUAUCACAUGAGAGAUAAGUACGUGAGGGGAGCUAACUUCUAAUUAUUCUCUGUACACUGAGUGCGUACAUGGUUACCUAUAUAGGAAGAAGAGGAUCCUUUAGCUUCACGAUGAACCAUUCACCUUCAGGAUGAACCCUUCACCUUCAGGAUGUAAAUACGGUAUAAGCCCACUAGUUUAUCAGUUUCAUAACACACUCUCUUGGGUGAAUACCACAAUCAACAUAUGCCUCGUUAAAACUAAAAACCCCAAUGGAAAAAAAUGGAGAAAGAGUACAUUCACUUUAAUGCAUUUGUGCAUUGUUGCCUCAUUAAAAAACUUACAUGAGAAACUCUCGCACAAGGAAAAAAAGAGUACAACUAGAGUCUUCGGGACAAAUCAUAAUCUCUUUUAGCGACCAUGCCUUAGCACGUAUUUCAUUAACAACAAAGCAGUUUAUAGACACAAUUCUUGAUAGACACAAUUCUUGAUGCAGCCAAACAGGACUUGGCCAACACAAGAGCACAAAUGACUAAAAACAGAGAAAUACUGAAAAGAAAGUACAACCAAACUCACAGCCAACAGCAUGAAAAAAAGUGAGAGAAGAACCCACACAGCCAAGUCAACAAUGACCAAAACAGCUGAACCUGCAAAGGGGUACAUCGAUGACAAGGUCACCCAAAGGUAGCCCACACACAACAUAGGUGGCAAAUCAUCCACCAAGCAUCACCCACGGCGACAAAGUAUCCGCCCAAAACAAACAAUGGUGGCAAAGCAUCCACCCAAGGCAAUCCAUCCAGCAUGACCUGAAGGCAAGGGCGGCAAAGUACCCGCCAACGAAGAGUAGCGGUCGCCAAGCACAUCCACCAAGCAUCACCCACGGCGGUAAAGUAUCCGCCCAAAACAAUGGUGGCAAAGCAUCCACCCAAGGCAAUCCAUCCAGCAUGACCUGAAGGCAGCGGCGGCAAAGUAUCCGCCAGCGAAGAGUAGCGGUGGCCAAGCAUCCACCAGACAACAUCACGACAGUUAUCCUAGCGACCAAGGCAACAGUGUUCAAGUCAACGCGAAGGCAGGUAUAGAAAAGCCACUCCCAGGUAGAGGUAACGAAGGCCACCAACACCGCCUUGACGAAUCCCAAGGUCUCAACAAGCCCGAAGGAAGGUGCUAUGAGUAGCACCGACGGUAGCGCAAUGCACGUCAGCAGUGAAAAACAAACCAUGAGCUUCCAAGACAACGCCUCUGAGAAUACGACACCGCUGGCGCCGCCAUGGCCCGACCAUCACAGUCUAGGUUUUCACCUGGAAGGCUUGACCGAUCAAAGGGAGGGAAGGGAAGAGGGUAGCAAUCGAUGCCUCCAGGGAGGGAUACGGCGCCUAAGGGCAUCGUCAUCGUCGACCCGCAAGCAGGCAAAGGCUUACGCCUAGAACCCACUCCCCACCCCCACCCAAAGCACGUCGCCGACAGUCCCGCACCACGUCACCAAAUGCCACUGCACCAGCAAGCACCCACGCCGCCACGGCCACUACCACAUGCGAAUGGCAGGGAGGCGGCCAUCAACUGCAGCCACGGACCUAUCACUGUCACCCUUGGCCAGGGGGGUGGUGGUCCGCGACGGGGAGGGUGAGGGUGGUGGGCCCCUCCAACGAUGGCAGCUCCCUCCGACCAGCGGCUGCUCAGGACCAGGAAGCCCAGAUCCAGGGUUAGGGGCAAUGGAUCUGUAGGCCAGUAGGCUAAGGAAGCCCCCGCUGGUGGCGAGGGAGCGGGCUCCUCCGGUGAUGGUGACGCCCUUCGACCAGCGGCUGCCCGAGCCUAGGAGAGCAUGGAUCCAGGGCCGGGGCCGUGGAUCUGCAGGCUAGCAGGCCAUGUCAGCCCUCGUCGGCGGGAAGAACGGUGACCGGGGGAGGAAGAAGCAACCUUGAAUCAUGGGUUCAUGACGUGUGCGAGUGAGGAGAGGUCAGGGAGAGAAGAGGGAAGGAAGGGAGUCGCCGCCGCUGCGGCCCGCCGGCUGGCAGCGGCGGCCAACAGGGCCUGUUGCUCGGGGGCUGGCGGCAGCGGCGCUAUCGUCCUUUGAGUUGCCCGAGGGAGGGCGACGUGGAGGUCCGAACAGAUAAACUUGAGUGAGGACUCUGAUCCGAUCCUAUUGUGGAAUAAAUGUGGAGGUCUGAUCCGAUCCUAUUAUGGAAUAGUGAGGACUCUGAUCGGAUCUUAGAUAAAAUUGAGUGAGGAAACAGAACAGAUAAACGCGGAGGUCCGAACAGAUAAUCUUCUAGAUCAUAUCAUUCUGGAUUUCGUGGAAUCCAAUGCAACGGCUAACAUUUAGGGAGGUACUCCCCUGAACCUUACAAACUUCUCAUAUGGCUCGAACACCUUCUACAGCAAAGCAUAUGCACAUAGAGACUCAACAAAUUGCAUAUUAUUGCACUGAUCAGUUUAUGAACCUAGCCUCAUCUUUCUUCUGGAAUGUGUGAGGUAAGAAUAUGGAAUACUAUAAUAAGUAGGCCACUUUCAUUAGUAGGUGUCAUGAUAAAGGCUUCAAGGAAGGUUUAGGAACCGAUCAUCAAAUUAACAUCUUCUAUGUAUUGUUUGAUACUUUUUGAGUUGUAUUGAAUGGCGAUCAAGACUUCACGUUUACUCCCCCUGACGUCAAUAUCUAUUGACAUAUUUUAGCAACAUGCCAUUUAAUCACUAUUUAAAAAAUAGACAUGGCAAGAACAAUACGAGCGAGAUUACAAGUUCUCACCAUAUAUCGUAUUCAUGAUGUUGUCUCGGUGUUCUUCUGGACCGUUAAAAACAAGGAAUAUUGGGGGAAAUUCAUUAUAUUUUUAUCAUGCACAUGCAAGUGACAUGUCUUUUUAGAGGACUUUAGUAGUUACAUAGUUGCAAUGAUACACAUCUUCUAGACCUCAUUAAUGUGACACAAUUAUAUCAUUGCAAUUUUCUCUAAGAUUAUUGAAAAAAAUCGACGGUCCUUCAGGUAUCAAUUUCAAUCCUUCAUGGAGGAUUUUUAACUGUUGAUUGUACUUAUAACGGUAAACAUAAGAAACAUUCCUUUCUAGCAUUACUGGGGUAAUUUUGCUAAUGUCAUCAAAUAUACCUUCUAGGAUUUUAGAGGAUACCAAUACUCCAAACCUUUAGGUGGAGAAUGCAUUAUAUAUCACGAGCAUAUAUAAGCACACAGUAAACACUACAAGGAUUUGUGCUUAAUGCCAUGAUUUUCUUUAGCAACAGUUGAUUUUUAUUGCAAUGCAUAGGGGUUAUUGUGACAGUUGUCGUUUUUGGUUGCAUUAGGGGCAUAUGUUGCCACCAAUUGUGUGGUGUUGCGAUUUAAAUUUUGUUGGAUGCAAUAAGGCGGAUAUAUCGCAACGAAUAUAUUUGCGUUGUAAUUACGGUGACGUUAUUGCAACGCUAGUAGUAAUGGUUGCAAAAAGAUAUCCAUGUCGCAAUGAAUAUAAAUCCUUGCUAUUAGUACUAUCGUGUGUUGCAAAAGAGUCUAUGAUAUAGCAACGCACAAUGAUUUGUUGCGAAUAGAGUCUUAGAUAUAGCAACACAAAACUAUAAGCAACAAUACCUAGAUGAGCCUAAAUACGAUAAAAAAUAGGCUCAGAAACAAAAAAAAUGGAAAAAAAUAUGUGGAUAAAAAAAGGUAAAAGCAAUCGCACAAGAGGAGUCAAACUCAUGACCUUCCUCAUAAAGAGGAGGCCUAACCACUACGCUACUACUUUGGUUCUACUAACAUGUGGCAUUAUUAUUCUUUUAGUUAAAUUUUGAGCCCGUUAUUACCUAAAAAGAAAAAAAAUAGGGGCCAGGGGAGAAUCAAACCCGUGACCAGCCACAUGGAGUAGAGGAGUCUUACCACGAUUCUACACCUCAGUUUGUGCCUUGUUUGGAUAUUAGAAAGCUUUUAUAUAAAACCAUAAUAUUGCUAAGAUAGAAAAAUGUGGCGCAGUGGAGAUUCAAACCCGUGACAUUGCUCAUCAACGAAGUAUGACUCGACUUCAUCUUGAACCCAAGACUUGACUCGACUUCAUCUUGGGCCCAUCUGUCAGUUAGGGAAUGGUGAGAUUAAAUUGUGGCAUUGAUGAGAAUUGAACCCAAGACCUGACUCAACUUCAUCUUGGGCCCAUCUGUCAGUUAGGGAAUGGUUAGAUUGAACCCAAACCUCGCGCUCAAGAAGAGUGAGCAUUACCACUAGACCACUUCUAGAUUUGUGGUGAGCAAUGGCAUUUUCUUUACAGAUUCUAUCAUUAUGUCCCAUGUCAGUGCCGACCCAUGAGAUGGUAUCCAACCACCGGUCACCACGUGGCAGCACGCGAUUGGCUUAACUGAUUUGGGAUAAAGAAUACAUGAAUAGUUAAUCUUUAUUUUUUUAAUCUAGAAUCAAAAUUUGUAGCUAGUAUUUCUCCUUCAUACGUAAUCCUCCAAUUCGAUGGUUCUUUUUUCUAUUUUUUUUCUAAAAUCACCCUCUUUUUAUAAUGAUGUUAUUUUACAUAAAUUGUGUGACGACCCUAGCUUAAUUAACCUUGUUUAAGCCUAAGUGAAGCCAUUAGAGCCUAAGAGAGCAAUUAGCAGCUAGUUGGACAAGUAAAAGCUCACUUUUGCCCCUCAAGAGCUUAAAGAGUGUUUAAAGAGUGUUUAGGCAGUAAUUCAAAUUUUUAUAUAAGAACUUAAAAAUUUAUUCGAACUCAUCUUCCCUCACAACUUUUAUAUUUGGCGUUUUGUUUGAAUCUGAGUAGAAGACCUUCAAAAACUCGAAAUUCAAAUCUGUGCCAAAUUAAGAAAAGCAGAUAAAGUCCCAACUUUGAAGCUCUUUAUCUUAAAUUUUCCAAUGUAAACUCAAGCUGAACUCUAUACAAAAGUUUUAGUGCUUCGAGCCCUUAACAACUUUGAUUAAAUAAGUUAGGCCAAAAUCUGCACAAAAGGUUUUCAAAAAUGAAGUCAAACACAACUAAAUGGUCAACUCUGGCACAAUUUGAAGUUUUCACUAAAUUUGAGAUGAACGCAUUUUGCCAAACUUUGAAGCUUUUUAUCUACAAAUCUGCUACAAAUUUGAACUCGAACCAAUUACAAGAAUUGAACUUGGAUCUUAGGUCUGCAACUUUUGUAAAGGGAGUUAAUAUCACGCAGUUCAAAAUCUGAAGUACAUCACGCUCGAAGACCGUCCCGUCACCUGAUCCUGCAAAUCCCUCACACCUAGAGCAUGCUAGAGCAUGCGUGCGCCGUGCUCCGCUCACCGCCCACCCCGUGGUGUGCGUCCACCGGCGCCGCUCCAUCGUCCCGUCCCCAGCCGUGACAAGAUGGGUCGACGAGCCCAGCCACCCAGUCGAGCGCGCGGUCUCCAUGCCCUCUACAACUCCUCUACGCCGCUCUGCCUCGCCCAAGGGAGCGCCCUGCUCAGCGCGUGCCCCCGCGACGCGCCCUGCGCGCUGCCGCCGCCGCCUUCGCCAACCGCCGGCCAGGACACGACACCUCGAGCGCUCGCUUCGCCAACCCGGCGCUCCGACAAAGCCGUCUCUCCGCGCACGUCUCGCUUCGCCCCAUGCCUGCACGCCUCGUCUGCGGCGCCAUCACUCCUCCCGCCAAUGGUGCCGCCACCAUUAAUGGCAGCAGCAGCGCCCCGCCUUCCCUCCGGCCCCAUCUGCCAACGCCUCACCUCGCCUUGCCUAUAAGUAGCCGACCGCCCUGCCCGAGCUCCUUUCCCCGCUUGCGAAGCUCUGCCCCGUUCCCCUGCUCUGUUUCGUGCCCACCGCCGAGCCACCUCACCGCGGAGCCCCCUCCUCUGCCCAGCCCAACCCCUCACCACCGCCCGUUUCAACAUCGCUGCUCCCUUGUGCAGCUCUAGAGCUCGCCCCAUCGGAACGCCACCACGGCCGCUUUUUGUCCCUGCGCCGUUCCGCCCCAUCGAGCCUCCUCCGCGCCCCCAACUGCCGCCAAUCGACUCCCGGUGAGCUCCCGUGCCUCCCCCACAACUCUUGCCCGGGAUUGGCCGGCGCAUCACCGGAUUCCGGCCAAACCACCGCCGUGCGCGCCGCCAAGGACACCCUUGUGUCUUUUACCAGUUUCUAGGGGCCUUAGCGUAAGAACUAGGGAUCCCUACGCAGUUAAACCAUAGACGUGAGGGCUAGAUCGCAAGUUUGCCUCGGUUUUGUUUUGUUUUCGGCAGAAAAUAUAGUGAACUUUGAAAAUGCACCAUAAAUUGUAGAAAAACCAAAAAAAUGUCAAAUCAAUUUUGCUAGACUCAGUAUGAAGUAUAGUUUCUGAUAAAAAUAAUUUUGGCACAUGUCACGGUUAGAAUUAAUGUUAUAUUAUUUAAUCCUUGUUUAAGCUAUUUAAAUCAUAGUAAAUCACAGAAAAAUGCUAAAAGGAUGAAUCCAACUCUCAAGUGCUUGUCUCAGAGAAUAUAAGCUUGGAAAAAUGAUUUGGAGCCUAGCUCAGAUGUUUAAGUCUCUGUUUUAGUUUUAUAAUUGCAAUCUAAGGUUUAAAUUAUCUUUUGCACAAUAUUUAAUCCAGAGAGGAGAAAAACGUGAAACCACAUGGAGUAAUUUAGUGAUGAAGUAUAGUUCACAAGAAAAAUAUGAAACCUUGUCUGAAAGUAAUAAAACCCACAUUCCUUUUUAGAGAAAAAUGAAUAAGAGUAAUAUAUGGAAUAUAGAUGUCAUUCACUAAAAAUUAUAAUAAAUUCACCAAAGUCUCUAAUUCACCCCUAGAACCCACCAAAGUUAUGCAGUAGCUUAUUUAUGACAAAGUUAAGUUGUUAAAUUUGUAGCUUCAUAGCUUGUUGUUUGGUUAAUGAAAUAAAAUUUGGAAGAUGAACCUAAUUGAAUGGAUGAGAGAAACAUCAAGUAAUAAUAAGGGUAAUGAUGGUAAUUUCAGGAGAGGUAGAGAAAAACAUUCAGAAACAGGAUAACUUCCCAAAUAAACCUUGAUCAACCCUAGAAUGACCCCACCUUUCUUUAUGAUGUCUAAGUUGUAAAACCUUAAAUGUGUACACAAUCACCAUCAAAAUUAACCCCGGGUUUUAUGCCAUAACACAACUUACUUCAUGAAGAUAAUAAAAGUUUAGAACCUUAUUUAGGUGAAUGUGGUCGAAGUGUAAUUUACACUUCAACAAUAAUUCAUGUUUUGCAUCCUGCAUGUGAAAGCAUGGAAGAUUAAACUUGUUGCAUUUGCAUUUCGUGUAGAAGUGAAUCUCGCCGAUGGUACAUACGAGCUGCACCCGGUACCGGAAGAAGAAGCCGUAGCGGAUUUGCACCAUGCCGGAGUCGAGCCCGUGCCAGAGCAAGCAGAGGACCAGUUCGCUAACACCAAGUGUGAAGG